Molecule: long non-coding RNA, 695 nt
Filed under: Cyanistes caeruleus (blue tit)
Lineage: Eukaryota; Metazoa; Chordata; Aves; Passeriformes; Paridae
Description: lncRNA (ENSCCEG00000008626.1)
Source: RNAcentral
AUGGUAAUAGAACACAUACUUUUGGUUAUAUCUUGCAUUGCAACCCAAGACAUUUUGGAAAUCAGCAUUUUGUCACCUCUUCUGGUGUCUCAGUCAGGAAUACCCAGUGCCAGAUCAUGUACCUGGCCAAGAGCUGAAGGAUUUUGGGAACUUUCAAGGAGAGAGGUUUACAUCACUGGGGUUGUCAUCUAUAGGCUGGGGGCUUUUCCAGGCACAGUACUCAGCUCCUCUUCUAGAGGAGUUCUCCUGGGGGAGCAAAGAGCUUCAUGGUGUGGCACAGGCAACUGAGAUUCUGCUCAGGGGUUUUAGAUGACGAUUGCAGUUUGAAUUGCUGAAUCCUUGGACUUACAGGUAUCUCAUAUCUGGUUUUGGUUCUUCUUAGUUAGCUUUUGGGAGUGAGCAAAGCUUGACACAUUUCUUAACUGUUUAAAAAGGCUGAUGUUAGAUUAUAUAAAAAUGCUAUCAAAAAUGUACAUGUGUUUGGUGUUACAGAGGAAAAUAAUCAGCCUUGUUUAUGAGCUGGGCAGUUGGACUGCAGACCCCAGAAGGUUCUUCCCACCAGCAUGUCUCUGUUUUUGGUAACUGAGGCAAAACUAGAAAGCUGAGCUUCAGGUCUCCAUUUGUGGAAAAAGAUGGAAGGAGGCCCAGCUUUCCUGACUACACAAGGAGAGUAAAUAAAUAUGAUUAAAUAAACA